Molecule: ribosomal RNA, 1761 nt
Filed under: Triticum aestivum (bread wheat)
Lineage: Eukaryota; Viridiplantae; Streptophyta; Magnoliopsida; Poales; Poaceae
Description: partial small subunit ribosomal RNA
Source: RNAcentral
AUGUGUCUUAUUGAUGAUGAUAUUUGUCAGGAUGAUGCCGAAGCCAGCCACGCGGAUGUUGCAGAGGUAAUUAUUCUCUUUUCCGAUUCAGAAACUUUGCCUUCACAAAAAAUCCGCCAGACAAACCGGAAAGUUAAAUUUUCUCAUCCUCUUGCUUAUUUGGAUCCUAAAUUUCUUAUGAAGACCCAACAACACGAAGCUCGUCGCACAACCCGACACAGCAGCCAGGUAGUUACCUCCGCUGGUUUACCGAAUAGUCCGGUUCGGAAACACCAUUCAGAGGCCUCUAAUUUGCUUGUUAGUGCUUGUCCUAAAGCGGGCUGCUUUCGUCAACCUCUUAAUCCGUCUGACUUCGAUUAUCAGGUUACUUCCCACUCAUCUUCUGGCGAGUCCUCGGCUACUCAGCUCCCACCGCUUAAAAUGGUGCUUGGGGCCAAACCUAGGCCAAGCAAGAAAGCCCGCCUGGACAAAGCGGCCGAAGAAGAUGUCGUUCUUGAAGCAGACAAGACACCCAAUGCUGAAACAGCUAUUCCUGAGGAUAUUCCCAACGAUCCACCACAGCAAGAUGAUGAUCUUAUUGUUGAAGAGAGACCUAUUGAUACCUCAGGUCCUAUCCAUCAGCCCACAGUUUCCAUCCGGAUUGAAAGCUCCACCGGUCCAGCAAAACCUACUGACAAGCCAAUAGCUCCAGUGCAAACCGGCGGUACCAAGGAUGAUGAGGUUGUCAUUACUGACACUGGCCAUACUGAGCCAAGCAAUCCUGUCGCUUUAUCCAAACAUUCUGCCAAGGAAGAAUUUGCUGCCUUUGGCAAAGGCAAGUGGAACGCUGAUCUGACGACUUACGCUGCUCUGAAGGCCCAAGAUAUCCAUUCCGGCUAUCUGAACCGGCUGUAUACCAGCCGUGACUACGAAGCCGGUCUGGUUAAUAUGAUGAAAGAUAAAUAUGAGGCGGAGCUGAAGACGAAAGAAAACCAAGUCAUCGAUCUUCAAGAAAACCUGAAAACCCAACAGGCUGAAACCUCCAAAGCGAAAGAGGAAUUGGCCAGUGCUUUAAGCGCCAUGGAACAACUUAAGGAGAACUUCAAGAAGAAACGGGCGGAUUGGGCCACUGAAAAGUCCGCUUUGAUCAAACGAGCAGAGGAUGCCGAGGCUGCACUAAAACCAGUGACGGAUGAACUGACCAGCAUAAAGCGGCACGUUCAUGCUAUGACCAUUGCUAUCUUUGGGCCACGCAUUGGUCACUUGGGGUCAGAUGUGCGGAAGAAAAUGAAAGCCGCCUAUACAUUGAUUGAACAAUUGUAUACUGGUGCCCAGCGGAUCAUCUGUACCGCGUCUCAUAACAAACCGGCGCCCACUUUAAUUCAAGAUACUUUGAUGAAACUGUCAGUGCUUCCUGCCCGGGUUGAAGAGCUGAAGAAAUCUGCUGCUCGAACCGGUGCAAUCAAUGCCUUAAUCCGGGCAAAAGCCUGGGUGCCGGAUUUUGAUCCUAUUGAAGCGGCUCAGGGCUAUCCCAGCUUGAAGGAAGACGGGUCAGAAUUUGGUGAAGCGGAUCUGCGAGCAAUAAACCGGGAGGUACGUCCACUAGCUUGUCAGUUGGCUGAAGAAGCAGACUUGUCUCAUUAUCAAGCGCAAUAUGACAGUCAGAACAAGCGAAUAGCUGCACCCAUCCAUGAAUCGGAAAAUCUGAUCCCUCCAAUCCGUAAGCAUACUUACACUCCCGAUAUUAACCCGUCAUUGAUGAAGCUGUUUUUCAAGCAUUAA